This 713-nucleotide ribosomal RNA is filed under the name Klebsiella pneumoniae. RNAcentral's name for it is "partial 23S ribosomal RNA". It matches the Rfam family "Bacterial large subunit ribosomal RNA", at positions 890 to 1604 of the family's 2925-position model. The record is from RNAcentral. Lineage: Bacteria; Pseudomonadati; Pseudomonadota; Gammaproteobacteria; Enterobacterales; Enterobacteriaceae.
UCAUCUUCGGGGGUAGAGCACUGUUUCGGCUAGGGGGUCAUCCCGACUUACCAACCCGAUGCAAACUACGAAUACCGAAGAAUGUUAUCACGGGAGACACACGGCGGGUGCUAACGUCCGUCGUGAAGAGGGAAACAACCCAGACCGCCAGCUAAGGUCCCAAAGUCAUGGUUAAGUGGGAAACGAUGUGGGAAGGCACAGACAGCCAGGAUGUUGGCUUAGAAGCAGCCAUCAUUUAAAGAAAGCGUAAUAGCUCACUGGUCGAGUCGGCCUGCGCGGAAGAUGUAACGGGGCUAAACCAUGCACCGAAGCUGCGGCAGCGACACUAUGUGUUGUUGGGUAGGGGAGCGUUCUGUAAGCCUGCGAAGGUGUGCUGUGAGGCAUGCUGGAGGUAUCAGAAGUGCGAAUGCUGACAUAAGUAACGAUAAAGCGGGUGAAAAGCCCGCUCGCCGGAAGACCAAGGGUUCCUGUCCAACGUUAAUCGGGGCAGGGUGAGUCGACCCCUAAGGCGAGGCCGAAAGGCGUAGUCGAUGGGAAACAGGUUAAUAUUCCUGUACUUGGUGUUACUGCGAAGGGGGGACGGAGAAGGCUAUGUUAGCCGGGCGACGGUUGUCCCGGUUUAAGCAUGUAGGCUGAUUAUCCAGGCAAAUCCGGAUAAUCAAGGCUGAGGUGUGAUGACGAGGCACUACGGUGCUGAAGUAACAAAUGCCCUG